GGGGGUAUAGCUCAGUGUGGUAGAGCAUUCGACUGCAGAUCGAGAAGUUCUCGGUUCAAACCUGGGAGCCCUCU
RNAcentral lists this transfer RNA (74 nucleotides) under Trichonephila inaurata madagascariensis. It matches the Rfam family "tRNA". Rfam says of the family: Transfer RNA (tRNA) molecules are approximately 80 nucleotides in length. The record is from Rfam by way of RNAcentral. Lineage: Eukaryota; Metazoa; Arthropoda; Arachnida; Araneae; Nephilidae.